UUGAAGCACGUACGCCAGUAUGUGUGGAGCCGUCCUUGAAAUACCACCCUUGUAGUGUUGAUGUUCUAACGUCGACCCCUAAUCGGGGUUGCGGACAGUGCCUGGUGGGUAGUUUGACUGGGGCGGUCUCCUCCCAAAGAGUAACGGAGGAGCACGAAGGUGGGCUAAUCACGGUUGGACAUCGUGAGGUUAGUGCAAUGGCAUAAGCCCGCUUGACUGCGAGAAUGACAAUUCGAGCAGGUGCGAAAGCAGGUCAUAGUGAUCCGGUGGUUCUGAAUGGAAGGGCCAUCGCUCAACGGAUAAAAGGUACUCCGGGGAUAACAGGCUGAUACCGCCCAAGAGUUCAUAUCGACGGCGGUGUUUGGCACCUCGAUGUCGGCUCAUCACAUCCUGGGGCUGAAGUCGGUCCCAAGGGUAUGGCUGUUCGCCAUUUAAAGUGGUACGCGAGCUGGGUUUAGAACGUCGUGAGACAGUUCGGUCCCUAUCUGCCGUGGGCGUUGGAAGAUUGAAGGGGGCUGCUCCUAGUACGAGAGGACCGGAGUGGACGAACCUCUGGUGUUCGGGUUGUGUCGCCAGACGCAUUGCCCGGUAGCUAAGUUCGGAAUCGAUAACCGCUGAAAGCAUCUAAGCGGGAAGCGAGCCCUGAGAUGAGUCUUCCCUGAUACUUUAAGUAUCCUAAAGGGUUGUCGGAGACUACGACGUUGAUAGGUCAGGUGUGUAAGUGCUGUGAGGCAUUGAGCUAACUGAUACUAAUUGCCCGUGAGGCUUAACCAUACAACACCCAAGGGGUUU
This 792-nucleotide ribosomal RNA is filed under the name Vibrio parahaemolyticus. RNAcentral's name for it is "partial 23S ribosomal RNA". It matches the Rfam family "Bacterial large subunit ribosomal RNA", at positions 2157 to 2925 of the family's 2925-position model. Lineage: Bacteria; Pseudomonadati; Pseudomonadota; Gammaproteobacteria; Vibrionales; Vibrionaceae. The record is from RNAcentral.